AAACAGCCCCCUAUAUUUUGAUUCUUUGGCAGUUUUGGCCUUCCAAAGCAAAAUAAAAAUAAAAAAUUUGACACGUGGCACCUCACUUAAGGUGCCACGUCAGCGUUAACCGAGUCAACACUGGAUUGGAUGUUCAAAAUUGCCAAAUAAUCAAAAUAUAGGGGGCUGUUU
Molecule: microRNA precursor, 171 nt
Filed under: Medicago truncatula (barrel medic)
Lineage: Eukaryota; Viridiplantae; Streptophyta; Magnoliopsida; Fabales; Fabaceae
Description: MIR2619 microRNA precursor family
Rfam family: MIR2619 microRNA precursor family
Source: Rfam by way of RNAcentral